This 63-nucleotide transfer RNA is filed under the name Rhipicephalus haemaphysaloides. Its description in RNAcentral is "tRNA-Glu". The record is from RNAcentral. Lineage: Eukaryota; Metazoa; Arthropoda; Arachnida; Ixodida; Ixodidae.
AAUUUAAAUAGUGUAAGUAAACACUUAACUUUUUCAUUGUUAAAAUCCUUAUGGUUUAAAUUA